This 804-nucleotide unclassified non-coding RNA is filed under the name Hevea brasiliensis (rubber tree). The record is from RNAcentral. Lineage: Eukaryota; Viridiplantae; Streptophyta; Magnoliopsida; Malpighiales; Euphorbiaceae.
AUUUAUUUAUUUAUUUAUUUUACCUUCUAUACUUUUUUUUUUUUCUCCAUUUUCAGGUGUAAGAAAUCUUCCUACUCCCAAGAAAGCCCACAAGUAUUAAGAAAUCUGAGUUCUAAGGUUCUCUAGAUCUAUUGAGACUACAGAUUACUCAAACCAAUCCUAAAUUAUCAGGGCAUGUUUACCAUAUACCAUAAUCCACGUUCACAGUUUCUUGCAGUCAUGCUUAUUUUCAUAUUAGCUUUAGAUUAUUGUUGUCAUUUUUAUCGAAUAAACUUGAUUACUCAAAAGACUAUAACAAUUGUGAUAGAUAAUUAUGCUAAAGUAGAUGUUGAGAUAUGGAAACAAUUAAAGAGCUAUGAUGAAGAAAUCUAGAUAAUAUUUUAAAAUAUUUUUCUUAUUUUAUCGGAUAAUAAAUUUCGAUAUUAAUAUUUUUAAUUAUAUAUGUCAGGUCUGUUUGAUAUUAUUGUUAGAAAAAACACUUUCUAAAUAUGUUAAUUAGAUGCAUUAGACAUUGGUUUAACAUUAAAUUUGACAUGUUUGAGUCAUUAAAAAUAAAGCUUUUCCUAAACUAUUUUUUCCAAUAACAUCUAAAACGGUAUUUUUUUUGAAAAGUUAGUGCUUUUUGGAUCAGAACCUCAAUGCUAAAUAAGUCUUUAUAUGUUUAUAAUGUUGAUUAAAUAGCAUUUCUUUUUAUAAUAAAAAGGAAAAAAUGUACCUCAAAGUUGGAAAUUUCACCAUAUAUGCAGUUUUGAUAUCAAUAGAACAAAAUUAAAAGAGAAGGAGAAGAAUACAUGACUGAUAAUU